GAAAUACCUUACUGUGAACUUCUAAUUCACUUGAUAAUAUUAAUUUAUUAGUAUUUCU
RNAcentral lists this transfer RNA (58 nucleotides) under Encyrtus eulecaniumiae. RNAcentral describes it as "tRNA-Ser". The record is from RNAcentral. Lineage: Eukaryota; Metazoa; Arthropoda; Insecta; Hymenoptera; Encyrtidae.